Molecule: ribosomal RNA, 253 nt
Filed under: uncultured bacterium
Lineage: Bacteria
Description: partial 16S ribosomal RNA
Rfam family: Bacterial small subunit ribosomal RNA
Source: RNAcentral
UACGUAGGGGGCAAGCGUUGUCCGGAAUCAUUGGGCGUAAAGAGCGUGUAGGCGGCUCGGUAAGUCCGCUGUGAAAGCGCCUGGCUUAACCGGGCGAGGUCGGCGGAAACUGUCCGACUCGAGGACGGUAGAGGGGGGUGGAAUUCCCGGUGUAGUGGUGAAAUUCGUAGAUAUUGGGAAGAACACCGGUGGCGAAGGCGGCGACCUGGUCCGGGACUGACGCUGAGGCGCGAAAGCGUGGGGAGCAAACAGG